This is a long non-coding RNA of Manacus vitellinus (golden-collared manakin), 494 nucleotides long. RefSeq lists it as uncharacterized. The record is from RefSeq and is a predicted model, not a curated record. The transcript is spliced from 3 exons. Lineage: Eukaryota; Metazoa; Chordata; Aves; Passeriformes; Pipridae.
AUGACACAACUGGCUGCUUUUCUGUCUACUUUUAUGAUGAGAUUUGAUACUUUGCAGGUAACUCACCCUAGGAUUAAGGGAAACACAAACAGGUUUUCCACGGGCAGGUGACAGCGCUGAGGACUCGUUCUGCUGCCUUGCGACACCGGCAACACGAGGCCCAGUGACCUGAGCUGGAUGUGGUUGGAGAUACAUGAAGAAUUGAGAGGCUGAUCCCAGAGCUCCCUCCUGCUGUGGAUCCUGUCAUAAAUCUCUGUUGUGUUCGUGAUGCCACCUGUGCCUGUCCCAUGAUCUUUGUCAUACCAUUACCACAGAACUUGACAAAGGAGCGGCCUUUUGUAGAUCAUCCUUGUGCUAUUUCUAAUUUACUGGCUCUACAGACUCCGUCAUUCUCUGCCUGGCAUGAAGCAUUUACCUGCUCUGUAAACAAAUUCAUCCCAUUUCUACUGAUGGAGGAAGUUGCUGUUCAGCCACACUGUGGCAAAACAUGCUUU